RNAcentral lists this ribosomal RNA (426 nucleotides) under uncultured Actinomycetes bacterium. RNAcentral's name for it is "bacterial SSU rRNA". It matches the Rfam family "Bacterial small subunit ribosomal RNA", at positions 233 to 671 of the family's 1533-position model. The record is from RNAcentral. Lineage: Bacteria; Bacillati; Actinomycetota; Actinomycetes.
GCGGCCUAUCAGCUUGUUGGUGAAGUAAUGGCUCACCAAGGCAACGACGGGUAGCCGGCCUGAGAGGGCGACCGGCCACACUGGGACUGAGACACGGCCCAGACUCCUACGGGAGGCAGCAGUGGGGAAUAUUGGGCAAUGGAGGAAACUCUGACCCAGCGACGCCGCGUGCGGGAUGAAGGCCUUCGGGUUGUAAACCGCUUUCAGUAGGGAAGAAGCGAAAGUGACGGUACCUACAAAAGAAGCACCGGCUAACUAUGUGCCAGCAGCCGCGGUAAUACAUAGGGUGCAAGCGUUGUCCGGAAUUAUUGGGCGUAAAGAGCUCGUAGGUGGUUCGUCACGUCGGAUGUGAAAAUCUGGGGCUUAACCCCAGACCUGCAUUCGAUACGGGCGAGCUAGAGUGUGGUAGGGGAGACUGGAAUUCCU